UACGGGGGGGGCAAGCGUUGUUCGGAAUUACUGGGCGUAAAGGGCGCGUAGGCGGCCCUCUAAGUCAGACGUGAAAUCCCUCGGCUCAACCGGGGAACUGCGUCUGAUACUGGAGGGCUUGAAUCCGGGAGAGGGAUGUGGAAUUCCAGGUGUAGCGGUGAAAUGCGUAGAUAUCGGGAGGAACACCUGUGGCGAAAGCGGCUCACUGGACCACAACUGACGCUGAGGCGCGAAAGCUAGGGGAGCAAACAGG
This 253-nucleotide ribosomal RNA is filed under the name uncultured bacterium. Its description in RNAcentral is "partial 16S ribosomal RNA". It matches the Rfam family "Bacterial small subunit ribosomal RNA", at positions 524 to 776 of the family's 1533-position model. The record is from RNAcentral.